CACACACUUAGACACACACUUGGAACCUCUUUCAACAAUACUAACAGUCAGUGGAUCCUGCACUGGCUACAGCCUUGCUUGGGUCCCUGGACACCACCAGAUGCCAGAAAUGGGUGAAGCAUGUGGAAUCCUUGGAUUUCACACAUUCAAUCUGCUGAGCCUAGAAACUUCUGAGGAAACUAAGAGCAACUAACCCUGCAGAAACUAUGAAUCUGCAGGUCAAACUGGACGCUGUCACUGCAAAGCUGGUCACAAACUGGAAGGGACUACUUUACAAGCAUUACAAGCAGAACAUCAGGCAGCAACUGAAGGACUCAAUGACCAACUGCCCAGAAUCCUCCAAACUGAGGGCUGGUCUGACUGCAGCAAAAAGAAGGAAGGCUGUAGGGAAGGAUGGAAUCCCUCCAGACUUCUUCCACCAUCUCAGACUGAUGGCUCAAAAGUGAAUUCUGCACCUAUAUUCAAACAUGAUGGAGAUCAGCCAAAUCCCUUGAAUCUGGCAUGAAGCAAUGAUUACUGCUCUCCUGAAACUGGGGAAGCCAGCCAGUGAUACUGGGAGCUACAGGCCAAUAUCAUUGCUUUGUAAAACUUACAAAUUAGUGGAGCAGCUCAUCCCCCAAAGGAUUAGCCUGAUUGCCAAGGUGUCCAUCCCCCAAGAACAAGCCAGUUUUAUGCUACACCAAAGCUGCUGUGACCAACUGCUUGCCCUCACCAUGAAUAAUGAAGAUGGCUCCCAUCGCAACGUUAAGAUCAGUGCCUUCUUCCAUGCAUCAGACUGCUCUGCCUUUUGUGAACAUUUCUGGGCAAUGCAUGGAUGCAUGUCUACCUCUGAGAUAAAGUGAGCAAACCAAGGAAUCCAAAUAACAGCCUCCUGCAGCGAAUUUUCUUGACACAACUCUCUUCAACAUUUAUAUAAGCAAUAUGCCUGCUACUUCUUUGAGGAAAUUUCCAUAUGCUGAUGACCUGGCACUAACCACAGGCAAGGACCUUCAAAGAGAUUGAAGACAUGUUGAUGUUAGACCUGUCUAUAAUGGCAGAAUAUUUCAUCAAGUGAAGGCUGCAACCAAAUCUAACUAAGUCCAUCAUUGCAGCAUUUCAAUUCAACAAUCACAAAGCACAUUUUUAUCUCAAUGUCACUUUUUGAGAAAGAAAAUUAUGACAUAAUCCAACUCUGUCCUACCUAGAUGUGACACUUGGCCAUACCCUAAUCUUUUGUAAUCAUCUUCAAAAAAUAGCUGCAAAGGUUAAGAGUUGGGUGAACAUGAUGCAAAACUCACCAAAAUGAGCUGGGGUGUCACUGCAGAAGUACUCCAUACCCCUGCUAUGGCACUAGUCUUCUUAACAGCCAAGUACUGUGCAUCUGUUUGGGCUGCUAGCACUCACGCCAAAUGUGUGAAUGUUCAGUUAAAUUCUGCAAUCUACACCAAUUCAAUCUUUACUGGUGCUAGCCAAUGUUGCAUCUCCAGACAUUUGCCACAACAAAUCUCCAUACAGAGAGGUCAUCCACAUGAAUGACAACCCAGACCUCCUCAUUCAUAGAGAUUUAAAGAACCUCCCAUAUCACCACCUGGUCUCUUGGAGACCUUUGUGGACACAUGUACAAGCCUUUGUAGGAAACAACAGUGCAGCAUCUUGGAGGAAAGUGUGGAAUUAAACCACUAUUCAGAAUAAACAUCUAAUUUCCAACUCAACAAUAAAGUCUCCUGGUUUUGACCUUCCACAAAAAACAUGUAAGGUUCUAUAUCAGAUCCGAAACAGGCAUGGCCACUGUGGUCACUUAAUGCACAAAUGGAGUACUAGGAGUUCUGCAGAAUGUGGCUGUGGCAACCCUGAUCAAACUAUGGACAAUAUUCUGCUCUCUAAACAAAUUUGACAGUGACACUGCAGAGAUACAUUCCCUUCCUCAAGAGCAUUAAACUGGUUAAGUAACCUUAAACUGGAUUUAAAACUGUUGCUCCAAGUCAGCCAUAUGAAAGAAGAAGACAUGCUUGGGAUGUGCAAGACUUGGAUAAAAUCCUCUUUGUUCCACCUAACUUGAAGCAUGAACUUAGACACAUAUCCUCCAUAUCCAGAGUGAGUGCCCUAAUCUCCAGACUGUUGAGAUGUUUCCCUUUCAUGCCUGUUUACUUGGGGCCAGCAGGUGGUUAUGUAACAAAAUACCUAACCACAGGAUAUUGAGGAGCAGCAAAUGAUUGACUGUGUUAAUCAGGCCCACACACCUGGAGGGAAGGCAUCACAGGAGGCAGUCGAUGCAGAAGAAUGGAAGACAGACACCUCCAGAUCUAGAUGUCACAGAACUAGACGUUACACUACUGGAACAACUCCCCCAGUGCAUCUGGGAAACAGGUAUGAUGCCCUAGUAUCACUGGGAGAGAGUACAGCAAUGGAGGGCAUGUCCACAGCUACUACCAGACAGGCUAAGAGGCAACCGGGCAGCCAGAAGAGAAGACAUCAAGUCAUCAUAGUAGGAGACUCCCUCCUGAGAGGAAUGGAGGGAGCCAUCUGCUGCCCGGAUCCUACAGUACAGGAGAUAAAUUGCCUGCCCAAAGCUAGGAUUUGGGACAUCAUAGCAAGUCUUCCAGACCUAAUCAAGCCUACUGACUACUACCCCAUGAUCCUUAUCCAUGUUGGAAUGAAUGAUGUGGUCCGAAGUAGUACAGGAUGGGUCAUGGCUGACUACAUGGCUCUGGGAGACAGGCUUAGAAGCUCAGGGGCAUAAGUAGUCUUCUCAUCAGUCCUCCCAGUCAGCAGAUGCAGCCAGCACCAUGGCAACUGCAUUGAGGAGGUCAACUCAUGGCUUCAGAGCUGGUGCCACCAUGUGGGGUUCGGCUUUCUAGACCAUGAUCUGUACUUGCAGGAUAGUACCUUGCUGGGACGGGAUGGGGUAUAUCUCUCUCCAAAAGGUAAAAGUCUGCUCUCUUACAGGUUGGCAUACUUCCUACAUAGAGCUUUUAACUAGCUUUGUCAGGGGACGGGGAUGCUGAAUUCAGGACAAGAUCGGGAAGGACAAACCAUGAAAUGCACACUGGAAAUGAUAAGUACUAAGGGACACACUAAGAAUCAGGAUAGGGGAAUACUAAGGCCACCUAUCAGGGGGCUUAGGUGUCUCUAUACUAAUGCCAGAAGUAUGGGAAACAAACAGGAGGAACUUGCACUCCUGCUUGCAGACAAGGAUCUCGACCUGGUUGGUCUAACAGAAAGCUGGUGAGACCCUACCCAUGACUGGGCAGUACGCAUUGAGGGCUACAGGCUAUACAGGCAGGAUAGAUUGGGGAAAAAGGUGAGGUGCAUUGCUCUGUAUGUUAGGGAACAUUAUACAUCUUCUGUAAUAAAGAUGGGGAAAGAAGAAGGGCAAAUCAAAGUCCUAUGGGUCAGAUUACAAGGGGUUAGGGGUGAAAGGGACUUGGUAGUAGGGGUCUAUUACAGACCGCCGCACCAGGAGGAAGAGUUAGACCUAGAAUUCUAGAAACAACUUUCAAAGGCAGUAUAUUCAAAAGAUCUAGUUGUGAUGGGUGACCUAAAUUAUCCAGACAUCUGCUGGGAGCAGCAGUUGGCCAGGUCUGCCCAUUCAUGUAGUUUCUUAACAUAUAUACAGGGCCUGCAUCUAACACAUGUAUGCAGUCCCACUAGGGGAGAUACCUUACUUUACUUGGAGCUGGCCACAGGGGAAGACUUGGUGGGGGGUCUACAGGUACAAGGUAACCUAGGGGAUAGUGACCACCAGCUGACAGGAUUCACUAUACAGCGUAAGGUGGGAAGGACAACUAGUAGGGCAGCAGUGCUAGAUUUCUGGAGGGCCAACUUAAACUGUAGCAAAACCCCCAGCUUUUCUUUUUUUUUCCUUUUAAAAUGCAUUCCCUCCCCCUCCCCAACCAUUUCUGACUUUUCCUAUCCCUCUCUAUUCCCUAUAGAUAAGUAUAAGUAAGCUAAGAUGUAGGAUAAGUUUUAACAUUUUAUUUUAGGUAAUAAGUUUUAUUUCUCUCCCCUCUUUGCAAAUAAGUCCCCUGCUAUUUUGAUAUAGAUAUCCACUGUUUUAUAAGGGAUAAUUAUUAUGUUUGUAUUGAUUUUUUUACUGCUUUUAUAUUGUGUGAUUACUGUUUUAGGCCUAUAUAUGUAAGUUAGCAUAAGUCAUGUCAAGCCUCCAUCUUAUGCCUGGUUGCAUAACCUAUGACUCAUACUAUCCCUCCUAUGUAACUUGGUUCCUGACUGAAUGGGGAUGAAUGAGGGUGCUUGAGAGUGGCAGUAGGUCUAAUAAUAGCUCCUUCUGAAUGACCAAACUAUCAACACCAAUACCUGGACCAAUGACCCAGCCCUUGGAACCACCCUCAGCAUUCAAGAAACAAAAGAUGAGGCACAUGCUCAGUAAGAACAUCUGGAACCCUCUGUAACAGGACUGAACUUGCCUGGACAGGCCCUCCCAUAGGAGAUCAUAGGUAGUCUACCCCAUAAAAAGGAGUAGUGAAGACUGACUCCUUGGGAAUGCUAUUUUCAUUUGGACCAGACGAGUUCCAUGUCACACUGCCUGUCCACCCCAGAGGCCCUUCCAGCGACCCCCCUCUGGACAACAUUGAGCUGAAGGAGACCCCAACUGGCCAUCGAGGACCCAGUUUCAGCCUGGGAUAGGUAAAUAUCACCUGCAUAUUUCCUCCUCCAAUUUGGACUCUAUCUCUCCUCCCAGACUUCAGCCCCUGCACCAAGCCUCUUUAACCCCUGCUGCCAUUGUCUGUGUGUGUGUGUGUGUGCAAAGGAACCAAUAAAAUAUUGUGUCACCAUCUCCCCUUUUAAAUAAAACCACUGUCAU
Molecule: long non-coding RNA, 4801 nt
Organism: Alligator mississippiensis (American alligator)
Lineage: Eukaryota; Metazoa; Chordata; Crocodylia; Alligatoridae
Exons: 3
Source: RefSeq, a predicted model, not a curated record